RNAcentral lists this long non-coding RNA (1845 nucleotides) under Homo sapiens (human). Its description in RNAcentral is "HSALNT0045344". The record is from RNAcentral. Lineage: Eukaryota; Metazoa; Chordata; Mammalia; Primates; Hominidae.
UGUGUAUAUAGCAGAUGUAUAUAUUUAUAGUGCAUGUGGGAUAUUUUGAUACAGGCAUAGGAUUUGUAAUAAUCACUUCAGGAUAAAUGAGGUAACCAUUGCCUUAAGCAUUUAUACUUUGUGUUACAAACAAUAUAAUUAUACUCUUUUAGCUAUUUAAAAAUGUACAAUUUAAUUAUUAUUGACUAUAGUCACCUUGUUGUGCUAUCAAAUACUAGAUCUUAUUCAUUCAAUUUUUUUAUACCCAUUAGCUGUCCCCCCACUGCCCCCCAUGAUGGUUACCAUUCCCAGUCUGUGGUAACCAUCAUUCUACUUUCUAUCUCCGUGAGUUCAAUUGUUUUAAUUUUUAACUUCCACAAAUAAGUGAGACCAUGUGAAGCUUGUCUUUCUGUGCCUGGCUUACUUCAUUCAGCAUAAUACCCCUCAGUUCCAUUCAUGUUGUUGCAAAUGACAGGAUCUCAUUAAUUUUUAUGGCUGAAAUAACCAUAAAAAUGUGUAUAUGUACCACAUUUUCUUUAUCCAUUUGUCUGCUGAUGGACACUUGGGUUGCUUCCAAAUUUUGGCUAUUGUGAAUAGUGCUGCAAUAAACAUGCGAAUGCAGAUAUCUCUUCAGUAUACUGAUUUCCUUUCAUAUGGGUACAUUUCUAGCAGUGAGAUUGCUGGAUCAUAUGGUAGCUCUAUUUUUAGUUUAGCUCGAGGCUCUAGGGCUCUACAAUCAGCAGGUGGUGAGGCCAGCCAGGCUUGUAUCCUUCUGUUAAGGGUGGCAUGUUCCCCUGGGCCCUAGGUGGGUUCAGAGAUGCUGUCUGGUAGCCAGGUCUGGAGUCGGAAACCUUAGAAACAUAUAUUGUGAUCUAUUCUACUGCAGCUGAGCUGGUGCCAAAACCAGAAGACAAAGUCCUUCCUACUCUUUCCUCCCCUUUCCCCAGGCAGAGGAGUCUCUCCCUGUGUCCACCACCACUGCAGGCCCAUGGGGAGUACUGCCAGGGUACCACCAGUUUUCACUUAAGGCCCAAAGGCUCUUUCAGCAGCUUGCGGUGAGUGCUGCCAAACCUGGGAUUCACUCUUUAGGGCAGUGGGCUCCCUUCUGGCCCAGGGUAGGUCCUGAGAUGCCAUCCAAGAGUCAAGACCUGGAGUUGGGGACCCCAAGAACCCACUUGGUGCUCUUUUCCACGGUGGCUAAGCUGAUAAUUAAUACAAAAUAUUUGUGGACAUUUACCACCCAAUGGUGGGCAGGGGGAGCGCAUGCUGAAACAAUAUUAGCAUCUGCCUCAAAAAUGAAUCGUUAUUUUAAGAAGAUUAUGUCUGAAGACCACAAUUUAAUAGAUUUACAUUGAUCAUCCACUAUGUUCCAGAUACUACAUGAUACUAACAAGACAACAGGAGAAGUGAUAUCAAAAGACAACGACUACACCAAAAUUUGGAGAAAAAGGUGAAUCCAGACAGUCACAGGUGAGAUCUGCCGACCUGGAGCAGAGCUGCUAGAUCCAUAAGCUGGGACGUGGAUGAAGCUGGAGGCAUUAUCCUUGGCAAACUUACACAGGAGCAGAAAACCAAAUACCACAUGUUCUCACCUGUAAGUGGGAGCUAAAUUAUGAGAACAUGUAGACACAUAGAGAGGAACAACACACACUGGGGCCUAUUGGAACGUGGAGGGUGGGAGGAGGGAGAGGAUCAAGAAAAACAUUUAGUGGGUACUAGACUUAAUACCUGGAUGAUGAAAUAAUCUGUACAACAAACCUCCAUGACACCCAUUUACCUGUGUAACAAACCUGCACAUGUAUUCCUGAACUUGAAAUAAAAGUUUUUUUAAGUGUAACUUACCAUUUUAAAAAAUAGUAUUUUUAA